UACAGAGGGUGCAAGCGUUAAUCGGAAUUACUGGGCGUAAAGCGCGCGUAGGUGGUUUGUUAAGUUGGAUGUGAAAUCCCCGGGCUCAACCUGGGAACUGCAUUCAAAACUGACAAGCUAGAGUAUGGUAGAGGGUGGCGGAAUUUCCUGUGUAGCGGUGAAAUGCGUAGAUAUAGGAAGGAACACCAGUGGCGAAGGCGACCACCUGGACUGAUACUGACACUGAGGUGCGAAAGCGUGGGGAGCAAACAGG
This 253-nucleotide ribosomal RNA is filed under the name uncultured bacterium. RNAcentral's name for it is "partial 16S ribosomal RNA". It matches the Rfam family "Bacterial small subunit ribosomal RNA", at positions 524 to 776 of the family's 1533-position model. The record is from RNAcentral.